This 253-nucleotide ribosomal RNA is filed under the name uncultured bacterium. RNAcentral describes it as "partial 16S ribosomal RNA". It matches the Rfam family "Bacterial small subunit ribosomal RNA", at positions 524 to 776 of the family's 1533-position model. The record is from RNAcentral.
UACGGAAGGGGCAAGCGUUGUUCGGAAUCACUGGGCGUAAAGGGCGUGUAGGCGGUCAGGUAAGUGGGAUGUGAAAUGCCUCGGCUCACCCGAGGCACUGCAUUCCAAACUGCUUGGCUUGAGUAUGGGAGAGGAUGAGGGAAUUCCUGGUGUAGCGGUGAAAUGCGCAGAUAUCGGGAAGAACACCCGUGGCGAAGGCGGUCCUCUGGGACGGUACUGACGCUGAGACGCGAAAGCGUGGGGAGCGAACAGG